CCUACGGGAGGCAGCAGUGAGGAAUAUUGGUCAAUGGCCGAGAGGCUGAACCAGCCAAGUCGCGUGAGGGAAGAGGGCCCUACGGGUUGUAAACUUCUUUUGUCAGGGAGCAAUUGAGUCCACGUGUGGGCUUAGCGAGAGUACCUGAAGAAAAAGCAUCGGCUAACUCCGUGCCAGCAGCCGCGGUAAUACGGAGGAUGCGAGCGUUAUCCGGAUUUAUUGGGUUUAAAGGGUGCGUAGGCGGAAUAUCAAGUCAGCGGUAAAAAUUCGGGGCUCAACCCCGUCGUGCCGUUGAAACUGAUGUU
RNAcentral lists this ribosomal RNA (305 nucleotides) under uncultured bacterium. RNAcentral's name for it is "bacterial SSU rRNA". It matches the Rfam family "Bacterial small subunit ribosomal RNA", at positions 338 to 640 of the family's 1533-position model. The record is from RNAcentral.